ACACAGAUGGGAAGGUAAGCUUCAACAGGACACUGCCAGGAAGAAGCAUGAAGAAAGAGAUAAACCCAGAGGCGGAAUGAACCCUUUGGCAGUGGAGAUAUCUGACCAUGGAGAUCAGCUUCUGAAUGUCACCCACCAAGAAGCUGUGAGCUGGAUGCUCCACAGAUAUGAUAUACAGAGCCUUCCCUGCUGGCCUUUUUCCUUCCAUCUGGAGAUCAGCCCGGGUCCA
This 229-nucleotide long non-coding RNA is filed under the name Homo sapiens (human). RNAcentral describes it as "HSALNT0034252". The record is from RNAcentral. Lineage: Eukaryota; Metazoa; Chordata; Mammalia; Primates; Hominidae.